This 83-nucleotide small nucleolar RNA is filed under the name Lupinus angustifolius (narrow-leaved blue lupine). Its description in RNAcentral is "snoRNA snoZ102_R77". It matches the Rfam family "Small nucleolar RNA Z102/R77". From Rfam's summary of the family: Z102 and R77 and are members of the C/D class of snoRNA which contain the C (UGAUGA) and D (CUGA) box motifs. Most of the members of the box C/D family function in directing site-specific 2'-O-methylation of substrate RNAs. Lineage: Eukaryota; Viridiplantae; Streptophyta; Magnoliopsida; Fabales; Fabaceae. The record is from Rfam by way of RNAcentral.
GAGAGCAAUGAUGAUUAUUGGUUUUCCCUAUUGGUUUGAUUGCCCGCAUGAUGGCAUUUUGUAUUAGCUCUAUCUGAGCACUC